RNAcentral lists this unclassified non-coding RNA (314 nucleotides) under plant metagenome. RNAcentral's name for it is "partial contains 5.8S ribosomal RNA, internal transcribed spacer 2, and large subunit ribosomal RNA". The stretch from base 1 to 105 matches the Rfam family "5.8S ribosomal RNA", at positions 50 to 154 of the family's 154-position model. The record is from RNAcentral.
GAAAUGCGAUAAUUAAUGUGAAUUGCAGAAUUCAGUGAAUCAUCGAGUCUUUGAACGCACAUUGCGCCCCCUGGCAUUCCGGGGGGCAUGCCUGUCCGAGCGUCAUUGCUGCCCUCAAGCACGGCUUGUGUGUUGGGCUUCCGUCCCUGGCAACGGGGACGGGCCCAAAAGGCAGUGGCGGCACCAUGUCUGGUCCUCGAGCGUAUGGGGCUUUGUCACCCGCUCCCGUAGGUCCAGCUGGCAGCUAGCCUCGCAACCAAUCUUUUUAACCAGGUUGACCUCGGAUCAGGUAGGGAUACCCGCUGAACUUAAGC